GACGAACGCUGGCGGCGUGGAUUAGGCAUGCAAGUCGAACGGUAUCAUCCUUUCGGGGGUGAGAGAGUGGCGAACUGGUGAGUAACACGUAGGUUAUCUACCCUCAAGACGGGGACAACCCAGGGAAACUUGGGCUAAUACCGGAUGUGAGCAACUUUUAGUUGUUUGAAAGGUGGCGUAAGCUGUCGCUUGGGGAUGAGCCUGCGUCCUAUUAGUUAGUUGGUGAGGUAACGGCUCACCUAGGCAAUGAUAGGUAGGCGGCCUUAACGGGUGGUCGCCCACACUGGGAUUGAGAUACGGCCCAGACUCCUACGGGAGGCAGCAGUCGAGAAUAGUCUACAAUGGUCGGAAGACUGAUAGUGCGACGCCGCGUGAACGAUGAAUCCCUUCGGGGUGUAAAGUCUUUUAUAUGUGAGCAGUGCUUCUUAUAUUAACAGUAUGGGGAGAGAGAUAUUAGCAUAUGAAUAAGCAACGGCUAACUCCGUGCCAGCAGCCGCGGUAAACUCG
RNAcentral lists this ribosomal RNA (507 nucleotides) under uncultured bacterium. RNAcentral's name for it is "bacterial SSU rRNA". It matches the Rfam family "Bacterial small subunit ribosomal RNA", at positions 28 to 527 of the family's 1533-position model. The record is from RNAcentral.